ACAUUGGUGAUUCAGUGGUAAAAUUUUUAUUUUCCAUGCAAGAGAUCUGGGUUCAAUUUCUGGCCAAUAUA
Molecule: transfer RNA, 71 nt
Filed under: Loxodonta africana (African savanna elephant)
Lineage: Eukaryota; Metazoa; Chordata; Mammalia; Proboscidea; Elephantidae
Rfam family: tRNA
About the family: Transfer RNA (tRNA) molecules are approximately 80 nucleotides in length. Their secondary structure includes four short double-helical elements and three loops (D, anti-codon, and T loops). Further hydrogen bonds mediate the characteristic L-shaped molecular structure. tRNAs have two regions of fundamental functional importance: the anti-codon, which is responsible for specific mRNA codon recognition, and the 3' end, to which the tRNAs corresponding amino acid is attached (by aminoacyl-tRNA synthetases). tRNAs cope with the degeneracy of the genetic code in two manners: having more than one tRNA (with a specific anti-codon) for a particular amino acid; and 'wobble' base-pairing, i.e. permitting non-standard base-pairing at the 3rd anti-codon position.
Source: Rfam by way of RNAcentral